Long non-coding RNA from Diceros bicornis minor, 364 nucleotides. RefSeq lists it as uncharacterized. Lineage: Eukaryota; Metazoa; Chordata; Mammalia; Perissodactyla; Rhinocerotidae. The transcript has 2 exons. The record is from RefSeq and is a predicted model, not a curated record.
GGGGUUGGGUGCACUUAAUGGGUCUCCACUCCAGGAGUAAGGGGACCUGGUCAGGAGGGAAGUGCACUGUCCCGUGGCUCCCUGAGUGCCCUUGAGCCCUCCAGGGCUUCUGCCUGCCCGUCUGAUGGAGAGGGUAUGAGACUUCAGGUUCUAUUAGGGCCUUUGAGGCCCUAACAUCCAGGAGUUCUCGAAGUCUAUGAUUAGCUUGGAUGAGCCCAGAGAAUCCUUCCCAGCACAGCCUCUGGGUGCCUACUAUCAACCAGAUUUGCAGUGCAAAAUGAGACCUACCAACCAUCCUCAGACAAGAUCAUCUCCAAGGGGCCAGCGUGAAGUGGGGACUCAAUAAAUAUUUUGGAUGAAUGGA